Molecule: signal recognition particle RNA, 84 nt
Filed under: Actinomycetota bacterium
Lineage: Bacteria; Bacillati; Actinomycetota
Description: Actinobacteria bacterium (sediment metagenome) signal recognition particle sRNA small type
Rfam family: Bacterial small signal recognition particle RNA
About the family: The signal recognition particle (SRP) is a universally conserved ribonucleoprotein involved in the co-translational targeting of proteins to membranes. Archaeal SRP consists of a 7S RNA and homologues of the eukaryotic SRP19 and SRP54 proteins.
Source: RNAcentral
CUGGCGGCGGACGACACCCUCGCCAACCCGGUCAGGUCCGGAAGGAAGCAGCCGUAAGCGGGGCGUGACGGGUGCCGCAGGGGU